This 497-nucleotide ribosomal RNA is filed under the name uncultured bacterium. Its description in RNAcentral is "partial 16S ribosomal RNA". It matches the Rfam family "Bacterial small subunit ribosomal RNA", at positions 28 to 507 of the family's 1533-position model. The record is from RNAcentral.
GAUGAACGCUGGCGGCGUGCCUAAUACAUGCAAGUCGAGCGAACGGACGAGAAGCUUGCUUCUCUGAUGUUAGCGGCGGACGGGUGAGUAACACGUGGAUAACCUACCUAUAAGACUGGGAUAACUUCGGGAAACCGGAGCUAAUACCGGAUAAUAUUGUGAACCGCAUGGUUCAAAAGUGAAAGACGGUCUUGCUGUCACUUAUAGAUGGAUCCGCGCUGCAUUAGCUAGUUGGUAAGGUAACGGCUUACCAAGGCAACGAUGCAUAGCCGACCUGAGAGGGGGAUCGGCCACACGGGAACUGAGAAACGGUCCAGACUCCUACGGGAGGCAGCAGUAGGGAAUCUUCCGCAAUGGGGGAAAGCCUGACGGAGCAACGCCGCGUGAGUGAUGAAGGUCUUCGGAUCGUAAAACUCUGUUAUUAGGGAAGAACAUAUGUGUAAGUAACUGUGCACAACUUGACGGUACCUAAUCAGAAAGCCACGGCUAACUACGUG